Molecule: ribosomal RNA, 446 nt
Filed under: uncultured bacterium
Lineage: Bacteria
Description: bacterial SSU rRNA
Rfam family: Bacterial small subunit ribosomal RNA
Source: RNAcentral
UGCCAGACUCCUACGGGAGGCAGCAGUGGGGAAUAUUGCACAAUGGGGGGAACCCUGAUGCAGCGACGCCGCGUGGGUGAAGGAGCACCUCGGUGCGUAAAGCCCUAUCGGCAGGGAAGAAACAGACGGUACCUGACUAAGAAGCCCCGGCUAACUACGGGCCAGCAGCCGCGGUAAUACGUAGGGGGCAAGCGUUAUCCGGAUUUACUGGGUGUAAAGGGAGCGUAGACGGCGAUGCAAGCCAGAUGUGAAAGCCCGGGGCUCAACCCCGGGACUGCAUUUGGAACUGUGUGGCUGGAGUGUCGGAGAGGCAGGCGGAAUUCCUAGUGUAGCGGUGAAAUGCGUAGAUAUCAGGAGGAACACCGGUGGCGAAGGCGGCCUGCUGGACUGCAACUGACGUUGAGGCCCGAAAGCGUGGGGAGCAAACAGGAUUAGAUACCCUAGUA